GGCUGAAGUCGGUCCCAAGGGUAUGGCUGUUCGCCAUUUAAAGUGGUACGCGAGCUGGGUUUAGAACGUCGUGAGACAGUUCGGUCCCUAUCUGCCGUGGGCGUUGGAAGAUUGAAGGGGGCUGCUCCUAGUACGAGAGGACCGGAGUGGACGAACCUCUGGUGUUCGGGUUGUGUCGCCAGACGCAUUGCCCGGUAGCUAAGUUCGGAAUCGAUAACCGCUGAAAGCAUCUAAGCGGGAAGCGAGCCCUGAGAUGAGUCUUCCCUGAUACUUUAAGUAUCCUAAAGGGUUGUCGGAGACUACGACGUUGAUAGGUCAGGUGUGUAAGUGCUGUGAGGCAUUGAGCUAACUGAUACUAAUUGCCCGUGAGGCUUAACCAUACAACACCCAAGGGGUUU
Molecule: ribosomal RNA, 398 nt
Filed under: Vibrio parahaemolyticus
Lineage: Bacteria; Pseudomonadati; Pseudomonadota; Gammaproteobacteria; Vibrionales; Vibrionaceae
Description: partial 23S ribosomal RNA
Rfam family: Bacterial large subunit ribosomal RNA
Source: RNAcentral